Molecule: long non-coding RNA, 1176 nt
Filed under: Homo sapiens (human)
Lineage: Eukaryota; Metazoa; Chordata; Mammalia; Primates; Hominidae
Description: HOX transcript antisense RNA variant G1.28
Source: RNAcentral
CAGAGAAGUGAAUCCUUUCCCUUAAAUCUCAGGGACUCUUACCCUUCCAACCCGCAGAGACACCGCCUGUUCACAAGAGUUUGAAGAAGUCCACUCUUUUCCUGGCCAGAGCUGGGUGUCAAGACUACCUUUCUGGAGUCCUUAGAGAGACUCCCGGAAGAGUAUCUGAAGUUUCCCAAAGCCUCCAGGCCCUGCCUUCUGCCUGCACAUUCUGCCCUGAUUUCCGGAACCUGGAAGCCUAGGCAGGCAGUGGGGAACUCUGACUCGCCUGUGCUCUGGAGCUUGAUCCGAAAGCUUCCACAGUGAGGACUGCUCCGUGGGGUCCUGCUCCGCUUCGCAGUGGAAUGGAACGGAUUUAGAAGCCUGCAGUAGGGGAGUGGGGAGUGGAGAGAGGGAGCCCAGAGUUACAGACGGCGGCGAGAGGAAGGAGGGGCGUCUUUAUUUUUUUAAGGCCCCAAAGAGUCUGAUGUUUACAAGACCAGAAAUGCCACGGCCGCGUCCUGGCAGAGAAAAGGCUGAAAUGGAGGACCGGCGCCUUCCUUAUAAGCUCGUUGGGGCCUAAGCCAGUACCGACCUGGUAGAAAAAGCAACCACGAAGCUAGAGAGAGAGCCAGAGGAGGGAAGAGAGCGCCAGACGAAGGUGAAAGCGAACCACGCAGAGAAAUGCAGGCAAGGGAGCAAGGCGGCAGUUCCCGGAACAAACGUGGCAGAGGGCAAGACGGGCACUCACAGACAGAGGUUUAUGUAUUUUUAUUUUUUAAAAUCUGAUUUGGUGUUCCAUGAGGAAAAGGGAAAAUCUAGGGAACGGGAGUACAGAGAGAAUAAUCCGGGUCCUAGCUCGCCACAUGAACGCCCAGAGAACGCUGGAAAAACCUGAGCGGGUGCCGGGGCAGCACCCGGCUCGGGUCAGCCACUGCCCCACACCGGGCCCACCAAGCCCCGCCCCUCGCGGCCACCGGGGCUUCCUUGCUCUUCUUAUCAUCUCCAUCUUUAUGAUGAGGCUUGUUAACAAGACCAGAGAGCUGGCCAAGCACCUCUAUCUCAGCCGCGCCCGCUCAGCCGAGCAGCGGUCGGUGGGGGGACUGGGAGGCGCUAAUUAAUUGAUUCCUUUGGACUGUAAAAUAUGGCGGCGUCUACACGGAACCCAUGGACUCAUAAACAAUAUAUCUGUUGGGC